Molecule: unclassified non-coding RNA, 314 nt
Filed under: plant metagenome
Description: partial contains 5.8S ribosomal RNA, internal transcribed spacer 2, and large subunit ribosomal RNA
Rfam family: 5.8S ribosomal RNA (bases 1-105)
Source: RNAcentral
GAAAUGCGAUAAUUAAUGUGAAUUGCAGAAUUCAGAGAAUCAUCGAGUCUUUGAACGCACAUUGCGCCCCCUGGUAUUCCGGGGGGCAUGCCUGUCCGAGCGUCAUUGCUGCCCUCAAGCACGGCUUGUGUGUUGGGCUUCCGUCCCUGGCAACGGGGACGGGCCCAAAAGGCAGUGGCGGCACCAUGUCUGGUCCUCGAGCGUAUGGGGCUUUGUCACCCGCUCCCGUAGGUCCAGCUGGCAGCUAGCCUCGCAACCAAUCUUUUUAACCAGGUUGACCUCGGAUCAGGUAGGGAUACCCGCUGAACUUAAGC